CAGUAGCCGCGGUAAUACGGAGGGUGCAAGCGUUAAUCGGAAUUACUGGGCGUAAAGCGCACGCAGGCGGUCUGACAAGUCAGAUGUGAAAUCCCCGGGCUUAACCUGGGAACUGCAUUUGAAACUGUCAGGCUGGAGUCUUGUAGAGGGGGGUAGAAUUCCAGGUGUAGCGGUGAAAUGCGUAGAGAUCUGGAGGAAUACCGGUGGCGAAGGCGGCCCCCUGGACAAAGACUGACGCUCAGGUGCGAAAGCGUGGGGAGCAAACAGGAUUAGAUACCCGCGUAGCCCUGUCUCUUAUACA
This 301-nucleotide ribosomal RNA is filed under the name uncultured bacterium. RNAcentral's name for it is "partial 16S ribosomal RNA". It matches the Rfam family "Bacterial small subunit ribosomal RNA", at positions 509 to 809 of the family's 1533-position model. The record is from RNAcentral.